This 442-nucleotide ribosomal RNA is filed under the name uncultured Oscillibacter sp. RNAcentral describes it as "bacterial SSU rRNA". It matches the Rfam family "Bacterial small subunit ribosomal RNA", at positions 338 to 795 of the family's 1533-position model. Lineage: Bacteria; Bacillati; Bacillota; Clostridia; Eubacteriales; Oscillospiraceae. The record is from RNAcentral.
CCUACGGGCGGCUGCAGUGGGGAAUAUUGGGCAAUGGACGCAAGUCUGACCCAGCAACGCCGCGUGAAGGAAGAAGGCUUUCGGGUUGUAAACUUCUUUUAAGGGGGAAGAGUAGAAGACGGUACCCCUUGAAUAAGCCACGGCUAACUACGUGCCAGCAGCCGCGGUAAUACGUAGGUGGCAAGCGUUGUCCGGAUUUACUGGGUGUAAAGGGCGUGCAGCCGGGCAGACAAGUCAGAUGUGAAAUCCUGAGGCUCAACCUCAGGACUGCAUUUGAAACUGUAUGUCUUGAGUAUCGGAGAGGUAAUCGGAAUUCCUAGUGUAGCGGUGAAAUGCGUAGAUAUUAGGAAGAACACCAGUGGCGAAGGCGGAUUACUGGACGACAACUGACGCUGAGGCGCGAAAGCGUGGGGAGCAAACAGGCUUAGAUACCCGGGUAGUC